RNAcentral lists this ribosomal RNA (331 nucleotides) under uncultured Clostridium sp. RNAcentral's name for it is "bacterial SSU rRNA". It matches the Rfam family "Bacterial small subunit ribosomal RNA", at positions 568 to 898 of the family's 1533-position model. Lineage: Bacteria; Bacillati; Bacillota; Clostridia; Eubacteriales; Clostridiaceae. The record is from RNAcentral.
AGCGUAGGCGGCUUGGCAAGUCUGAUGUGAAAGCCCAGGGCUCAACCCUGGGACUGCAUUGGAAACUGUCAGGCUAGAGUGCAGGAGAGGUAAGUGGAAUUCCUAGUGUAGCGGUGAAAUGCGUAGAUAUUAGGAGGAACACCAGUGGCGAAGGCGGCUUACUGGACUGUAACUGACGCUGAGGCUCGAAAGCGUGGGGAGCAAACAGGAUUAGAUACCCUGGUAGUCCACGCUGUAAACGAUGAAUACUAGGUGUCGGGUCCGUCAAGGAUUCGGUGCCGCAGCUAACGCAAUAAGUAUUCCACCUGGGGAGUACGUUCGCAAGAAUGAA